AUAAAUCACCUCUAUUUUGGUUUCUAAUGCCCUUCUAAGGCAUCGGUCGGGGGUUCGAAUCCCUCUCGGAAUGCCA
Molecule: transfer RNA, 76 nt
Filed under: Candidatus Izimoplasma sp. HR1
Lineage: Bacteria; Bacillati; Mycoplasmatota; Mollicutes; Candidatus Izemoplasmatales; Candidatus Izemoplasmataceae
Description: tRNA-Arg (TCT) (tRNA-Arg-TCT-3-1)
Rfam family: tRNA (bases 14-73)
About the family: Transfer RNA (tRNA) molecules are approximately 80 nucleotides in length.
Source: RNAcentral